This 1006-nucleotide long non-coding RNA is filed under the name Gouania willdenowi (blunt-snouted clingfish). RNAcentral's name for it is "lncRNA (ENSGWIG00000019191.1)". The record is from RNAcentral. Lineage: Eukaryota; Metazoa; Chordata; Actinopteri; Blenniiformes; Gobiesocidae.
CACCAGAGGACACAGACAUGUUACGCUUCCUCUGAUGGCCGGAAGGAAACCUUGAUGAACCACAGGAGUUCAAAAUGACUGUGCAUUUGUUCGGUGCAACAUCUUCACCGAGUUGCGCCAACUUUGCCUUAAAAAGAACAGCAGAGGAUGCCACACACGAAAUGUCACCUCUGGCGAUUAGUGCAGUGCAGAACAUUUUUUACGUAGACGAUUGCCUUUUGUCAGUGUCAAAUGAAAGUGAAGCCUGCGCUCUAGUUAAGGAGCUAACAGAACUAUGUGCAAGUGGAGGUUUUCGUCUUACGAAAUGGAAUAGUAACAGCAGAGUUGUUCUGGCCUCCAUUCCUGAAACAGAAAGAGCAUCAGAGGUUAAGGCAUUAGACCUCUGUCAUGACAACCUUCCAGAAGAACGAGUCUUAGGAGUUAACUGGUGCAUUGAAACCGACUCCUUCAAAAUCAAAAUCAAUGAGAAACCAAUGACACAAACCAGGCGGGGCAUUCUGUCGUUUGUAAGUUCAAUCUAUGAUCCCUUAGGGUUUCUUUCCCCAGUUAUUCUUCCAGCUAAAAUGAUAUUGCAGGAGCUGUGUGGAAAGAAAGUUUCAUGGGACGAGGACAUACCAACGGACAUGACUAAGAAGUCAAAACAGUGGCUAUCGGAUUUUGCAAAACUACGAGGAUUUACAGCGGACAGAUGUUUUAAGCCAGUUGGAUUUGGAAAUGUCAAAUCUGCCCAACUGCAUUAUUUCGCAGAUGCGAGCGAGAGAGGUUAUGGCGUGGUAACAUACCUUCGUGUCAGAAAUGAAAAGGGUGAGGUCCAUUGCUCAUUUGUAAUAGGCAAAUCACGAGUAUCACCUUUGAAACAAACUACCAUUCCUAGAUUAGAGCUUACAGCGGCUGCUGUAGCCGUAAAAAUCGAUAAAAUGAUGAGAAACGAGCUGAAAAUUCAACUGAAGGAAUCCACAUUCUGGUCUGACAGUACCACAGUUUUGAGGUACAUUGCAAAUGAUGG